Molecule: ribosomal RNA, 253 nt
Filed under: uncultured bacterium
Lineage: Bacteria
Description: partial 16S ribosomal RNA
Rfam family: Bacterial small subunit ribosomal RNA
Source: RNAcentral
UACGGAAGGGGCAAGCGUUGUUCGGAUUCAUUGGGCGUAAAGGGUGUGUAGGUGGCGCCGUAAGUCGGGUGUGAAAUUUCGGAGCUUAACUCCGAAACUGCAUUCGAUACUGCGGUGCUUGAGGACUGGAGAGGAGACUGGAAUUCAUGGUGUAGCAGUGAAAUGCGUAGAGAUCAUGAGGAAGACCAGUGGCGAAGGCGGGUCUCUGGACAGUUCCUGACACUGAGACACGAAGGCCAGGGGAGCAAACGGG